AUUGAACGCUGGCGGCAGGCCUAACACAUGCAAGUCGAACGAGCGGCGGACUGGUGAGUAAUGUAUGGGGAACUGCCCGAUGGAGGGGGAUAACUACUGGAAACGGUGGCUAAUACCGCAUACUAUCGUAUGAGCCCAGAUGGGAUUAGCUAGUAGGUGGGGUAAAGGCUCACCUAGGCGACGAUCCCUAGCUGGUCUGAGAGGAUGACCAGCCACACUGGAAAUGAGACACGGCCCAGACGCCUACGGGAGGCAGCAGUGGGGAAUAUUGAACAAUGGGCGCAAGCCUGAUGCAGCCAUGCCGCGUGUAUGAAGAAGGCCUUCGGGUUGUAAAGUACUUUCAGCGGGGAGGCGUUACCCGCAGAAGAAGCACCGGCUAACUCCGUGCCAGCAGCCGCGGUAAGAC
RNAcentral lists this ribosomal RNA (406 nucleotides) under uncultured bacterium. RNAcentral describes it as "partial 16S ribosomal RNA". It matches the Rfam family "Bacterial small subunit ribosomal RNA", at positions 30 to 526 of the family's 1533-position model. The record is from RNAcentral.